RNAcentral lists this transfer RNA (85 nucleotides) under Achromatium sp. WMS3. RNAcentral describes it as "tRNA-Leu". It matches the Rfam family "tRNA". Rfam says of the family: Transfer RNA (tRNA) molecules are approximately 80 nucleotides in length. Their secondary structure includes four short double-helical elements and three loops (D, anti-codon, and T loops). The record is from RNAcentral. Lineage: Bacteria; Pseudomonadati; Pseudomonadota; Gammaproteobacteria; Thiotrichales; Thiotrichaceae.
GCGAAAGUGGCGGAAUAGGUAGACGCGCUGGAUUUAGGUUCCAGUAGGGAAACCUGUGGGAGUUCGAGUCUCCCCUUUCGCACCA